GCAAAUUAAAGGAGGCAAGUGUGCAGGAGAUCUCCAGCGAAGUACAAUUAUAGAUGUUCGCCAGGAUUCCACGCAGAGAGAGAAGUGUCGUCAGAUCGUGGAUCAUUGAAGGUGUCCGUCAAGAGCAUGGAUAAGGAAGUGUCGUCUGUCGUGGAUCUAAUAAGAGUCGGAAGGAAUUGUCCGUUGUAGAAUCGUCUAUGUAACAGUUCUCAUAAUUUGCAAUAAAUAAU
This 230-nucleotide long non-coding RNA is filed under the name Arabidopsis lyrata. RNAcentral describes it as "long non-coding RNA (ALYR_LNC002758)". The record is from RNAcentral. Lineage: Eukaryota; Viridiplantae; Streptophyta; Magnoliopsida; Brassicales; Brassicaceae.